Anopheles gambiae (African malaria mosquito) is the source of this 15866-nucleotide long non-coding RNA. RefSeq lists it as uncharacterized. The transcript has 2 exons. NCBI's taxonomy places the organism in Eukaryota, Metazoa, Arthropoda, Insecta, Diptera, Culicidae. The record is from RefSeq and is a predicted model, not a curated record.
UUUUAACAGCACGUGUUAAGCGCUAACAAAAGUAAAGAAAGAGCGGGGCAAUUAACCUGUCCGCUCCUAAUGUGGAGAAGCAAUUCUGAAAUAACUAUUUCAGAUAUAUCAACGGAAGAAUUAUCGUAAAGUUCAUUAACUUUCGAUCCUAUUUCUAUCGAUAUCGACAUCGAAAAUCUUUCAUUGGAAAGCAAAAUGGCGAAUGAAGCUGAACUCACGGAACAGAUUAAAAAUCUUUCUAUUGUGAUAAACCAAAUGGUGGAAAAAAUAACCCAGCACGAAGAACGCUUAAAUAACACGUUUCAUGUGCGCGAACAAUCCCAUAAAAAUGUUACCAUCAUUGAACGGGAAUAAAAAACAAUUAACGUAUUGGUUAAAUACAGCUGAGGAAACAUUAAAAAUAUUUGAAAGUAUUGUGCCACCAAAUACUUUUUGAAUUUAUUUCACUGCAGUACUCAAUAAAAUAGAAGGUCAUGCAAAAGACGUAUUGUGUGUUAAUGGCACUCCUUCUAAUUUUAGUGAGGUUAAAGCUAUUUUAAUAUACGCCCUAGGAGACAAAAAAGAAUGGUCAUCUUAAAAUUGUCAAUUAUGGCAUAACGGCAUGGAAGGAAGUGUUGAAGAAUAUUAUAAAAAAACUAAACAGAUAGUGUACAAUAUAAAAUCUAGUGCUAAACAAAAUGCAAAAUACAGCGCUCAAUGGGACGUAAUUAAUGAUUUUAUGGAUAUUUUAUUUUAUUGCUCUAUUUUGGCUAUGCACAAGCCGCUCGUCCAAAAAGCAUCGAGGAAGCGCAUGCUUUCUUGUGCACAUUCACGUCUAACGAAAACAAUAGAAACUUCAAUACAGGAAUUGGGUCAUUUUGUUGACAGUUGACAAAUGUAGAGUGUGUCUGUAGCUCCGUGUUGAAUCGGGUUUUUAAGUGUGAAUUUGACGAGAAGCAUCCAAUCAGUUGUUGUUAUUAUGACCCUAACUGAAUGGGUGUGGUAAUUAAUAUAUAGUUUGAUGUUAUCAGGAUAAGUAUUUGUUUUCGUUUUAAUUUGUUGUGUGUAGCUGUUGAGUCAACGAAGAAGCGUCACUUACGGAUGCGUUCUGAUAUUUAUAUAUUUAUUUGCCUGUGUGUGUGAUAUUCUUGUGCUGUUAAGUAUAAGGUAAGGUACGUGUCAUGGAGUCCGCAAAGUGCUCCGGACACAUACUUGCCGGUGACUGUCCGUUGGUGUGUAUGGGUUUCGACAAAGGCUUUCACGCAGAUUGUACGAAAGUUAGUAGAGUGGCUGCGCGUAUGAUCAAUGAAUCGACUAACAUCGUUUUCUGUUGUGACGCGUGUGACAAAAAGAAUGUAGGGAGGAAUGAUUUGGGUAAAUGCAAAGCGACGCUAGAUGCAGGCUUUAAAUCCCUCAUGAAAGAAUUUGCUCUUAAACUUGAGAUACUGAAAUGCGAUUUAGUUGAGACGCUAAACUCUCAGUUGCCAAGUGCGAGCGUAGUCGUAAGGUAAAUAUGAUACAAGUAGAAAAGCAAGUGGGAUUAAAUAAUAUGGGUGAAGAUUGCUCUAAUACAUGCACGCCAAAUAAGAAUUCCCAACCAACAUUGCAAACAAGUUCUGGUAUGCAAUCUAUUUCGUAUGAAAACGAAUGGGUUACAGUGCGGAACAAACGUAAACGCACCAAUAGUCCAAACUCGGACAUAAUAACAACAGGUACAGUAUCGGACAGAAAGAUAGGGCAUUGGUUUUUUAACGCACCGUGCACCCGUUGGGCCAAGUUUAUGUGUGGUUUGUAUGUGCUUGUGUUUGUGUGUGUGUGUAUGUGUGUGUAUGUGUGUUUGUGUGUGUGUGUGUGUAUGUUUGUGUGCAUGUGUGUGUGUGUGUGUGUGUGUGUGUGUGUGUGUGUGGAUGUAUGUUUGAAUGUGUAUUGAUGUGUGUGUUUGUUUCACAAGUAGGUCGUUUCGGAUAGUUUUGUAAGUAGUUUUUUUGUGUUUUGGGUUAGGUUUUUGGUGUGAUAAGCAGGACCACCGCCCUCGCGAUCAGUGUGUUUUCGAUAUAUUAACAAUGUUACGGUCUUCUUUCGCCGUGGUCUUCUGAGGACAUUCGGUUGACUUGCGCGUUUCGGUUGUCCAAGCGCGUUUCGGUUGUCUAAGCACGUUUCGGUUGUCCGAAGCGCGUUUGCCACAAAAGUGCGCGAUCGUUCCAUUACGAACUCGAUCCUUUUGCGCUUAAUGCCAGCAGCAGCCGUUCGCUUUUACAUAUGGCGCUGAUGAUCGGUACAACGUUUACCUCGACCCAUUGUUACUAACAUUGCUUGCUUGGACCGUCAAGAACGCGCUGGUUAAAAACUUGGACACGGCUGAUCCCGUGCUCUGCCUGCGUUCUACUUCUAUACGCGAUGAAUUACAUCGUUGUCGAGCAGCGAAAACAUCGCAUGGAUAAAAACUAUCAACGAGUACGCGAGUAAGCGUCUUCCCUUCAAAAUCGAGAAAAGAAUACUGCCGCGCUCAUGAAACAAAACGCCCAUUGAAAAGAAUAACUGCGCGCCAGCUCAAUGCACACACAAAGUUUACCAUUUGCACACAACGUGCAACGCAGAGAUGCACGAAGGCCUUUCAAUGGCGUGCACUGGAGAAACACCUGUGAGGGAAUGCCAAGUUCAUUGCUAUUGUGCGCGUGUCCAUUUCGCACCGGUGUCGCAUUCACAUUCAUGAAACAGCACACCUGCGUUUUCGUCCGAGGAACAAGCGCUGCUGUCGAUGCAAACUUUAGUUUUUAUCCAAGUGUAAACGCACAAUGUUUCACAUGAUAACACACAUAAUAAGAAUAAUUUCAACGCAAUAUGACAUCAUGGCAAGCUAUGUUUUUCAGACACAAACCCGUGCACUUGCUAAUACACAUUGAAAAACACACUCUCUUUCUACUACACACACUCACACACACACACCCACACACACACACACACACACACACACACACAUACACACACACACAUACACACACACAUACACACACACACACCCACACACACACACACACACACACACACACACACACACAUACACACACACACAUACACACACACAUACACACACACAUACACACAUACACACACACAAACACAAGUAACGUGGCAAAACAAGUGCACGGUGCAUUGAAAAAAAAGGGUCCUAUCUUAAUGUCCGAUACUGUACAACGUUGUUUCGGUGACCUGCUAUCGCUUGGUAAAACUUUCCUGUUGGUCCGUAGGCCUCUCUGGUUUGCUCGAGUUCCCGAAUGUUUUGCUCUUCCAAAGCAUGUUUCUUGGAGCGGUGAACUCGUUUCUCUUCGCGUCUAAGCCGUGAAUAUUCCUCUGCGCAUGCCCUCGUUCUAUGCCGUUGCUGCAUUGUUCGGUAUGCAGUAUUAUUACGUUCGGUCACUUGUCUCGAACCAGCCAGAUUUGGUGUUGCCACGACGUGGUGGGAGUAUAUUUCUUGCACAGGUUAUUAUUUUUGUUUUUAGAGCGUUCCACCUCUCGCUCGUAGUUUCAUAACUGUUUUCUGGUAGUAGAGACUCGUCUAAAGCGGCUUUAAAUUCCUGUUGGACAGUAAAGUUCCUUAGAGAGUCCGUGUUGAGCCGAGGCUGCAUGUUUUCUCCGCCCCCAUUGGCGCGGGGGCGAGUGAUUCUACAACAGUGAUCCGUUACGUGAUACGAUACGUGAUAAGCCAACCAAGUAGUGAUCGGAAUCGAUAUUGGCUCCUCGAUAUGUUCUGACAUUUAACAGAUUCGACUGUUGUCGGCGGCGUACUAACACGUGGUCGAUCUGGUUGAGGGUUACUCCAUCCAGGUGCGCCUACUUCCAACAACCAGAUUGUUCGCUGCGGUGAACUGGACCAAUCUACUACCAUUAUCGUUACUGUGCUCAUGCAGACUGUGACAGCCAGUGUAUUGGCGGUACAUUGGCUCCCUACCGACUUUUGCGUUGAAGUCCUCCAGGAUGAUUAUGAGGUCAUGCCUGGGGCACGCAUCUAUAGUUAUAGCUAGGCGGCCGUAAAAAAGGUCCUUCUCCUUUUCUUCUUUCUCUUCGGUAGGGGCGUGAACGUUUAUGAGGCUUAUGUUACAGAAUUUGUCUCGCAUGCGCCUAUCGCAUGCUUUGAUAGGGUGCAUAGCCUAUCGUUUAUAGCAGCGGUUGGCAAAGUCCGGCCCGCGGGCCAUAUGCGGCCCGCCGCAACAUUCAAUCCGGCCCGCGAAAAGAUUUGACUUAUUUGGAAAAAUGGGAAGAAACGAUUCGUAAACAAAUUACUGAAGAUCGUUUAGCAUACCAUAUUAAACCAUCGUACUUUUUCAACUUUUAAUUAAAGUACUAUGGAAUGACGGAGCGUUCAGUAUGUUCGAACUCGAGGUUAAUAUCCCCGUAACUUUUGCAUGAAAAAAUAUGCCAUUUUCGGCUGGCUGUAGAAAAAAACUAGGAAAUAUAAUUUCUUUACAUUUACAUCUGUUGAAAAGGAAUUAUUUAAGCAUACUUGCACAAAUAAGAUCAAGCCUUUGCGAAUUGCUUUUCGUCAGUUAUAAGGAAUUUUCACCAUGGUGGACAAAGGCAUGCAAGAUUUAAGUUCUACCUUCGAUUAUCAUCAAUUCUGCCUAAGUUUGCGCUACAAAAUUGUUAGAGUAGAGUUUUUGCAUCACGUUGGUGCAGAAAAAAAAUCAAUGGGACACGGGUGACGGAUGUUGGACCAGUUUGCGAAUUAGGGUGUUAUAUCGAAAUUCUGUCGAAAUUCACCUGGAAUGAUUGCAUUGAGUUUUUGUGAUCUGAUCUGUUUAUUCAUGUUUCCCAGGGUAUCCCAGUCCAGCUAACGCAGUAAUGUAGCCACUUAUCCCUCUGUCUUCAUUUCAGCUUCUUUUGGAACCUCAAAAAUGAACCUAGGGUUAUUUUCGAUGCCUUGAUUGUUGCCUAGUGCCAAGAUCUUGGCGACCAAAAUGUCGAAAUUAGUGUAUACGACGUCCACAAUUUGGUUCAUUUUUUUGGCCAUCAUGGUUAGAGUUCGACUGAUAGAGGUGUCCAAUUUUGUCACCUAACUAAUGGGAUAUUGCUAUUCAAAGUGGAAUUAACGUUUUGUUAGUGCGGUUUAAGAUGAACCCAUGAAAAAUCGACAAUUGUUGUCCAUUUUUUAAUGCAACCGUUAUGUAAUAUUAAUGAUAUUUUAACACCACAAUGAGACUAUCGAAAUGAAGGACGCAUACGAAAUUUUAUAAUUUAUAUGUUUGUAUAUAAAAAAAAAACAAAAGUAGGUAUUAUCAAUUUGGAACCGUACUUGGAUGACACAAUUAUAGAAAAACAGCAAUAAUACCAAUCGCAUUGCUUCAUAUCAUUUAUUUUGUUUCUAAAAGUUUAAAAUGUAAUAAUUAAAUCAAAAUAAUAGAAAAACCACGUUCUCCCGGCCCGCGGAUUUAGAUUAUUUACUAAAGUUGCCCCUGUGUCUCAAAAGUUUGCCGACCGCUGGUUUAUAGCCUUCAAAUCCAUGAUUGCGGGUUUCAACCGAGGAUCUACGGCGAAACCCGUUCCGAGCACGCGGUGGCGGUCGUGGCAGCUGUAGUAGAUGUCGUAGCAAUGCUUCCCACGCCUGUUGUGCACUCCGUUCCCUAGCCACCGAAUCUCUUGUAGAGCUACGAGGUCCAUGCUCAGUGUGGCUAGGGCGUCAUCAAGUUGUUUCCAGGCUCCGGCUUUGCUAAGAGUGCGUACGUUCCAUGAGCCCAUUUUGAUCGUUGUCUUGGGGCAUUGCGUAGGGUCGGUAUUGUUAGGUCCGUUUCGUAAAUUCCUGCUGCUUUCUGUAGUCGUUUUGUCCAUGAGACUGGGUGACUGGCCCUGCGCUCACGUGGCCUUUUUAUUUAACGUCGGGUUGCCCCCCACGGGUUGACGUUCAGGCACCCAGUUUCCCGCGAUACCCACCUCCCUCCUGGUUCGCCAUAUGCCACCAUCCGCCCAAGGGGUUGGAUCUAGCCCGUGUACCCAUGCUAGGAUAUAUGGAGGCACAUGUUACCACGCUGCACGACGAGGACGUGUCAGAAUAGGAGUUGGAAGGGAGAGCCUGUAUCAUGCCCUACAACAACAAAUGUCAAAAUUGCUCGCGCUAUUUUCAAAAAAAGUUAACUAAUUUCGGGGCCACGGAUGGUCGCAGCUAAAUAAAAAGACAAAACGUAGGAAAAUGUUGAUCGUUCCUAUUAUAUGCGACUAACGAGUGAAAUCGAGUCGAAUUAUAAAAAAAUCACUCUCCAAAAUGAAAAUAUCCAAAAGUUUGGCCAUGAUGAUUGGUUUUCAAUUACUCAUAAACUUUAAAAAAAAUUUUUGCAAAAUAUUCAAACAUUACAUCAGAGUAUGAUAAAACAAACCUUUUCAACGACACAUAAAUUAUCAAAAUAUAACCAUCAUAUACUAAAAUAUGAUGUUUUAUUUUUGGUCGAAAAAUAGCUCAAAUUUGAAAUUCAGUAAGUUAAAGAUAAAAACGUAAUCAUUUUUGAUUUCAACUAAGUUUAAGUAUCUAUUUAAAAAAAUGGUUAUGGUUAACUUGCGAUAAAGUUGGUUAUUCGAUUUGUAUACAGGCGUUUGCCCAAUGUGUAUGGUGGUGUUGUGGUCUUGAUGGUUCUCAGGAAAGGAACCAUUCCAGCUAUUGGCGAUGAUGAUUUUGCUAAGGCAAAUGAAGUCACGACGUGGAAGAGUAUUAUGAUUACUUAUGAUGAUUAUGCUAUUCGAUCUGCUAUUUCGUUUCCCUGCUAUAACGUGGAAGAGUAUUAUGAUUACUUAUGAUGAUUAUGCUAUUCGAUCUGCUAUUUCGUUUCCCUGGAUACCUGUGUGACCAAGAAUCCAGCAUAAUGUGACUUGGGGUGAAUUUUUUAUAUUGCAUAGUUGUUUGAUGUUCGGGUCGCUGGUGGUUCCAGAUUCAAAUUCUUGAAGGAUACUUGAACUUUCAGUGAAAAUUACGUUGGGGUUGUCUCUGUGUAGACCUUCAUCAGCAGCAAUAACCAGGGCUAUUGCUUUUACGGUGAAGAUUGAGGUAUGGUCUGGUAGUCGGAUAGCGCUAUUGUCGAUGCUGGGGUAGAUUCCACUGCCAGAGGAACCAUUUUGUACUGAUCCGUCUGUGAAUAUGAGAUGGUGGUUAUGGUAUCUUUGCUCAACGAGUUCGGCAAAAUGAUAGUUAGCAAUGACACUAUUGCAACCAGCCCGAAACUGACUUUUGAUGGUCCAGUCUAUUUGUGGCGGGUGGCAGUGCCAAGGGCGACUACCGAUUUGAAUGAGUUUGGUGACUGAGGGGAGUGUUUGUCCUGUUAGCGUGGUGAAUUCGGCAUUUGCCUUUUCGAUAAGAGCAUCGGCCUUGAUUUUUUUCCAUCAUUCGUCCUGCAGUUGCUACUAUCUUGUCGGUAAUGAUAUAUGGUCCAAGGGUUGAAGUCCGCUUCCACACAGAAAUGAUGCUAUGGGGCUCGUGACGAAAGCCCCGGUAGCACAGCGGAUGGUGGUAUGGUAGAGUGGUGCAAUUUGUGUUUGGAAAUGUUCCCGUUUAUGGGAGACUAUUUCGAUGCCGUAGAGUAGUUUUGGUAGAAGCCAGCUAUUGAUGAUUUGAAGUUAUGUUUGGCGGAAGGCGCGAUGUUGACCGGUUCCAAGCAUUCUGAAAAGAUUAAUACGGUUGUUCGCUUCUCUUUUGAUCCGUGUAGUGUUAGCUUUAAAUGUUAGAUGACGAUCAAAAGUCACUCCUAGGAUAUUGGCUGUGCGUGUAUUUGGUAUUACUGAGUUAUUGUGUGUUAUAGGUUUUAGAAUGUGAUAUUUGCUAUUGCAGAUGUGAAGUAUUUUGGAUUAAGAGUGUGAAAAAGUGUGACCUGUCCAACGUGACCAUUUCUGAACUAUGUUUAUUCCUUCUUGUAUUUUUUGUGUAAGGGUUUUUGGGAGGGAGGGAAGGGCCCUUUGAGAGGGCUGGGUUUUUAAGCGCCUUUGAAAAGGUCGCUUUGUUUCCGUCCAGAUGGGACGAGAAGCAAGAAGAAUCAGACUCUUCGGAUUGGUACAUUGUUUCAACUUCAUUGGUGGUUUAGUUUUGAUUAAAAGUAUUAAUAAAUUUGGUAUGUUCAAUUUCUUUGCUUUUGAUAGUUUCUGUUAGUAGAUCACUUUUCUUAUCUAAAUUAGCAUUUUCUUGUUUACGUUGAUCAAUAAUUUCAUCUUUUGGAUCAGGGGUAGCAACAGGUGGAGUAAGUUUUUUCAAAAGUUCUUCGUUUAGUUUGUUAAGAUUGGCAAUUUCUUCGUCUCUAGAAUCGGGUUUAGUGGAAGGGGCAACGUUAGUUUGUGGAUUAGAGGACACAACUUGAGCGAGAGUGAGCCUUUGUUGAACUGCGCUCUGUUUAUGUAGUUUGGAAUCUAUUUCGUGCUUCAAGCAAAUGACACGUUGUAAUCAAUUUUAUGUUUAAUGACUGUUUUAUUUCCUGUUCCUUCAAAUAAAAUAGGCAGGAUUUAUCAAAAUAAUUGUGGUUGCCUUUGCAAUUGAGACAUUUCAGUGGAGCAGUGCAUUCUCCAUGGGCAAGGAUACUACAAUUGUGGCAAACCUGUGAGGUUUUGUAUCUCAGCCUCAGCUAUGGUCAUAGUGAGCACAAUUAAUUUAAUCUGGUAGACUUGGUGAAGUGCGUUCUUUGCACUGACGAAAUUUGUGCCAUUAUCUGAAUAGAUAUGGUUGUUUCGUCGGAAGAUGAAACGGUCUAACGCUUUCAGGAACCCUAUUGUACUUAGGUCACCCAAAAACUACAAAUGCACUGCUUUGGUGCUCAUGCAUACAAAAAUGCAUAGGUACGCCUUUUGAGGAGCUGCUUUGCAAUGAACAGGUUUCAGCAUUAUCGGUCCACUGUAAUCCACACCUGUACAGACAAAUGCUUCGUUUGCAGUGACUCGAGAAAGUGGUAGCUGCCCUAUCGGUUGCUGAAUUGUAACAGGAUUGGCUCGGUUACAGCGAUAACAUGCUUGGAUGGUAGAUCGAACCGCUUUCCUACCAUUCAAUGGCCAAAACUCUUCGCGAAAGUGUUGAUGUGAUGCCACUAUGCAUCACCUUCUCAUGUUGCUGUCGCAACAGCAAUUCGGUAAAUGGAUGAUACCCACGAAUGACGAUCGGAUGCUUCACACAGAAUGGCAAAUCGGCAUGUCCAAGUCUGCCACCAACACGUAUGACACCGUCUUUGCCAAUGAAUGGAUGGAGUAGCUUGAGUGGGGAUCCACCAGCAAGCUUUUGUUUCUUACGCAGUUGUCGUAAUUCAUCGGGAAAUAAUUGUCGCUGUACCAUCUUUCUUCUUCUUCUACUUCUUCUUUGGCUCAACAACUGUUGUCGGUCAAGGCCUGCCUUUACCUCUUGUGGGCUUGGCUUUCAGUGACUAAUUGAUUUCCCCCCAUAGCAGGAUAGUCAAUCAUACGUAUGGCGGCACGGUCUAUUUGGGGCUUGAACCCAUGACGGGCAUGUUGUUAAGUCGUACGAGUUGACGACUGUACUACGAGACCGGCCAUCUUUACUAAUACGAUUUUAGCAUAUUGAAUCUCAUCCCCAGAGAGAUUGCUCGUUCUGCAUUGUUCUUUACCACGUGCAAUGUGGCAAAAUCGCAUGCAAUAUGCAGUUACAUGAACCAUUGUUCUGAAUGAGGAGUAUCGUAGGAGCAAUGGGUCGGGCUCGACUACUUGGGCAGUUAGCACAACGUUACCCUUUCUUUCCAGCUCAUCAUCAGUGAAGUGUUGUUGUCCAUACGAUUUGCUGGGCCAGUACGAGUUAUCUUUCAUCAGACAAUCUGGUCCAUGCAUCCACAUGUUGCUUUCCAAAAGCAAUUCCGCAGAAACACCUCUGGAUAGCAUGUCGGCAGGGUUCUCGAUCCCUGGCCCAUGAUGCCAAAUGCCGUUGGUAGCAGCGGGUAUCUCUCCUACUCGGUUUGCGAUGAAAGUUUUCCACGUUCUAGGUGGUGCUGCAAGCCAUUGCAGCGUGAUGGUUGAAUCGGACCACAUAUGUGUUUCGUUUACUGCCAUGUCAAUGGCUGAUAUUAGUUUCUGCUGUAAUCUGGCAGCUAGCAAGGCUGCGCAUAGUUCCAGCCUAGGUAAGUUCCAGGAUGGUAAGUGGUUUGAGCGGAGCCACUCUCGAUUUAGAAGCUAGCAGCGUUACUUGGGUAGUGCCGUCGAUGCUUUGCGUUCUCAGGUAGGCACACGCACCAUAAGCUGCUUCUGACGCGCGUGCAAAACAAUGCAGCUCUACAUAGUUAUAGUUGGGUGUCGAAGCAAAUCUCGGGAUCUUGAAAUGAGCUAGCAUGGGGAGCGAUUCGCAAAACUCGUUUGUCACACAAUUGCCUCGGCAAUUCGUCAUCACAACCGAGUUUGUUUGCCCAAAGUUCCUGUAAGAGGAUUUUUGCUUGCACGAUGAUAGGUGAUAGCAAGCCAAGCAGAUCGUUCAGCUGGGUAAUCGUAGAUAGCACUGUACGUUUCGUGUAGGGUCGUACAUCAGGGAUAGCAAUCGUGAAGCGGAAUACAUCGUUCGGUGGUUCCCAACAUAUGCCAAGCGUCUUGACAUUUGCAGCUGCUUCGAAUUCAUGAAUGUUGUUCCAAGCAGAUCAGGUGUCAACCCGUCAAGCACACUCAACUCGUUUGAGCACCAUUUUCGGAACCGGAAACCUCCCUUGCUCAUACACUGGUUAGUUCGUCACGAAGUUGAAUUGCUUGCUCAAUGCUUUCUGCGCCGGAGAUCAGAUCGUCUACGUAAAAGUUCCUCCUCAUCUUCAUCCUCAGCUAGUUGAAGAAGCGUACGUGUUGCUAGGAAUGACGAUGGAUCCAGACCAUAUGUUACCGUUGCCAACUCAAAAGUUUGCCGCCACCUUAUACUUGCGGAAUCGCACGACGAGAGACAGCAGCUCAUCCGGCACGACUGGUCCUACGUGCAAGACAUCGAUUAGAGAAUACCCCAUGGUUGUCUUCGCCGAGCCGUUGAAAACCACUCGCACCUUGGUCCUCAUGCUGGAUUAUUUCGCCACCAGAUGAUGCGGCAAGUAGUGAACCGCAGCCAUGCUGUCCUCUUCAACCGGCACAGGAAACAUGUGACCCAGCGCCACGUAUUCUCGCAUGAAGUCAUCGUACUGCUGCUCCACACCAGCAAUUGAAACGCUAGCGGGCUUUCGUGGUAGUCGUAAAAGCUGUCAAAGAUGUUCACUGAUCGCAUGCGGCUGCGAUCCGUUGUCCAGCAAUGCUCGCGCUAAGUGUUCUUUGCCGUAUGCAUCGACAACAACCAAUAAGACUGUGGAGAGUACAGUGUUAACGGAUGAUUUCUUCGACGAUGCUAACGCCAUUGUUGAAGAGCUAGAAGUUUCACCCACCAAUACACUGCUGUUUUCUUCGAGAGCGUGAAGUAGUGUGUGGUGACGCUCUGCUGGCAUUUGUAUUUGGACGCACACGCAUGGGCCAAAUGUCCUCCUUUCAAGCAAUUUCUGCACAGCCUUUUCUCACUCAUCACUCUCAUGCGCUCUUGUGUAUUAGUGCCUUUGAACACAUUGCACGACGCUAUACUGUGCCCAUUCUUUUUGCACAUCACACACACUGGUACGUUGUUGGUAUGAGUAGUAGCAGCAUGCAACGAUACUUUUGCUUUUAUUGUUUUUGUUUUGGAAACUGUGCCACACUUAUCUAUUGCCAGUGUUUCCAACACUUUUACACGUUUUUCCAAAAACGCCAUCAUGUCCGUAAAUGUAGGGUCUUCAUCGGCAUGGGCUUCUACCCAUACACGGAAUGUUUCAACGUCCAGCUUAUCCGCCAUUAACUCGAUGAGAAUUGAACUGAACGAUUUCAUGGGUUCUUUUAAUUGCUCUAAGAUUUUGACGUGCCGUCGAAAAUCUUCAAUCGAACGGUUGAGCGCCAAUGCUCCCGUGUCUUUCAUCUUAGGAAUCGAUAUGAGCGAUCGAAUAUGCUUCUUACGCAAAAUGAUUGGGUUGGAAUAACGUUUGACGAUCGUACUCCAUGCCAAUCAAAAUUCUAACUCGUAACCGAAAUGGACUGUAUUAAAUUCGCAGCUUCUUAUUUGAGUGAAGCUCCAAGGUAGUGGAAUGUUUCGAUUGUCGUAAUGUCCGUUAAUGAGUGUAUGAGUGAGACGUAUGUGUCGUGGAACGUGAACCACGCAUCGAAAUUUCCUGCGAACUCUGGGAGUGCAAUCAAUGGGAGCUUCACUCUUGAAGAAUGAAGCAGCAUUUGCAGCAACAGACACAACUUCAGCGGCUGCCGGAACGGGUAACAUACUACGCAAUUGCGCCUUUGCAUGCUAAUACGUUUCCUCCAUUUCUGCUCUAAUACGCGCAUUAGUUGCAACGCCUUCCUCGGAGAUUUCCUAAUCUUCGAUGUCUUCUUGCACUAUUUCAAAAGAUUCCCAAAUCUUUUCCAAACGAUCGAGUCGCGUUGACACUUGAUUUUAUUGUUCAUUUGUGUACGUUUUUACGAACUCUUUCACACGAUGGAUCGAGUCCAUGUAUUGGUGCCGCUUGAGCUCCUUGUACCGCAACUUGUCCUGCUUCAACAUUUUGAAAAAGGCUCACACAUACAAACACCAACACAGAUCGAGUGCCGCAGCACUGCUUUAUGAACAAACGCUUCUGUACGCCGGUUUUCACAAAAACCGAAGGAUUUAUCAAAAUCCUGGUCACUACGCACCAAAAUGUUGUCCCGUGAUCGUUAACAACUUGCCGUACGUUGUGAUAUUAUUGAUUGUCUUUAUUCAGUAUCGAUUCGCGACCGAUAACUGAACGCCGCGCACCCAGCUCAAGCAGCGUAUGCAAAAACACGCACACACUUACGCCGAAAGUUCUCGUUCCUCACUCUCCUCUUGCCUUCUACCUUUCUUCCUCUACGCUUCUCCUCACCAGUACAUUCUACCGUAUGCGGUACCAAAUAUUCUUCAUCGGUGAUGUUUUUAAGAUCAGAAGAGAAAAUCACGCAUAUUGGACGGUAUUAAGUGUAGUGUGGGAUAUGAGGGUGAUAAGUGUGCCAUUAAUGAGUUUUGUUAGAGUUUGCAAAUUUUUAUAGUGGGACAAUGAUCGGAUUUUCAACAGGUACUUAGAAUUAUUAUUAAUCAAGUAACCUUCUACCGGUCGUCCAACAUGUUGUUGUAGAUUGUUGCCUACGAUGAAUGGGUCUGGUAGCGGCUUUCCUUUUUCAGUAGUCAGAACCAGAUACAUUAGCUCUACUUCCUCGCCGUUAAACCAUUCCGGGUAUGUCCUAGCCCGGGAACUCGUGCCGGGAGGGGGAUGAGCCCUCGCGGCAGGAGGAGGGUCCGACAUAUUGUCGGCCCUCUCAGCACUGGCACUUGAAAAACGUCACUGUCACAUUUUUUUCUCAAUGUCCACUGCACAACAAUACCACUUCACUUUUGAAAAAAAAAAUGUCUUAUGAGAGUCCACCUGACUAAUGUCUUUAGAAAAACUUUCACUAUCUGCACUCACAAAACAGGCUACAACCUUGGGCCACAAUACUUUACGUAGCGCUUUGAGAAAAGCGAACAACGUAAAAUGCGUUAGGAUUGUUCUUAAAAAUGUUAAAUAUUUACUUUAAUGUCUCGCUGUGAAAACAACGAACGACGUAAAAGGAUAUCUAAGUUUGUUUUUUCCCACACGUACUACACUACAGCACAAAACUCCUGAAACACCAAACACGAACAACACUUUCCAGCACCGCACUGUUUGGACCCAGGUAAUUCUGCAAUGCACUGAUCACGGGGUUAUAAAAUACGUUUCAGUCGAGGAGCGCGCGGUAGAACACUCUUUGGCUGUCACGAGAAGAUUGAUUCAAGCAUGUUCUGAUUGAGACUAUUGUGUACGCCGACGGCAAAAUAAAGUGUGAUUAUUUAGCUUAUUCAUUUUAAAAGCUUUCGUCCUGUUUUGUUCAAGUAAAAGAAAACGUACAGAAGUCAUUGUUUACAUCCAAUUUCCACGUUAAGCGAUUCCGUCUUACUAUUCUUCUUUGGCACAACAACCGGUAUUGAUCUAUUAGUGACUUAUUUAAUACCCAUUGCAGGAUAAUCAUUGCUAUUUAUUGAGGAGUCGGACUAUACCGGGGUUUAACUCAGGACGGGCAUGUAGUCAAGUCUUGUGUGUUAAGUGGUGGUGUACAAACCUGCAAAGGUACUGCAAAGUACGACUGUACUUUUCAUUUGACAGCUCGAUGCACUCUUUGUGAUAAAAAUAUUCGAUUCAACAUGGUACUCGGAUAUUUUUACACCUUGUAUAUAAUUUUUCGAUAUGAAUUCGCUAAACGCUAAAGUUCGAUCCUUUCUAGUACGUUACGCUUCAUACAAAAACGUAAAUUGGUUAAUUGAUGUACCAUGUCUUGAUUUUCCUUACUACUUUAAAUAGUGUUUGCAUAUUUGCUCACCAGAAUGUUUUAAAUAUAAGUUGAAAUUGUUUUGUAUUCGUUUUGAUAUGCAAAGGUGUCCGUUCCUGCCAACAAUAAACGUGAAACAAAUCGAUUUUCACUUUUGUACAGAGCUGGCUCCGCACCAACGGCUCCGAACCAACGGUUCAAACAAACGGUUCCGGACUAACGGUUCAAUGGAGACGGCAUUGUACGAUAGCGUAAAGAACGAAUGUAUCUUCCCGCGAAUGUGAGUGCAAACAGUCGAUAUUUUAAACAAAGAACAGUUAAUUGACACUGUGGUAGGUUCGGCCGCGCUUCUCAAACCGCUUCGGUGAGUCAAUGCGCGGAGCGCAGUGAAAGGUUGUGGAACGAGGAAGGGGAUUGUACGGAACCAAAAUGUAUACACAUUCGUCGCGUAUCGGUUACGUCAACCCGUUCACACUUACGCUAAGUUCGAAAAGAAGCACUUGCUACGUCAGCGGAAUCGCGGACUGGAUCGAUCUUGCGCGUCCAGUUGAUGACCGAGGCGGAAUCGGACACCGUGGGAGAAGUUGGGUGAAACUAGUGCAAACGUGCACUUUACUUCGAUGAGGGUAAUGCUGAUCGGUCAACUGACUGAACAGCUGAUAACCAAAAGUGGUUAUCAAAUUGGGCAGAGCCUUCGGCGGAAUCUGCAAAUUGGUGAGAUACACCAGAACAUGAGUGAUCUACGUGUCUGUGAAUUGUUAACUAACUUCGCCAUCAGUUCGAGCUUUAUUUAUAACUAAGAUGGUGUAAAAGUUGUGACACAUUUAGCAACCAGAUGUUUCUCAAAUGUGAGCUUUCGCUUGGUUUUCCGGGUUUGGGUUUUUACAGGGGUUUCUUUAAUUAUACCUAGCGUGCCUGUGUUUUAUUAACUAUCCGUGCAUUGUGGAUACAGCAAACGUGUUCCUGUUUAUGCCUGGGUUUUUACGGAAGUUUAAUUGUUUAUCUGUGGCGCGUUUUCCGCAUUUAUGUUCUGGGGUAAAACACGAGAACGUUUACGCUUCUAAUGUUUAAAGUCUUUUUACCUGGCUGUUGGCUAUGCUAAGUUAGAUUUGACCUAGCGGAAUUUGGGGCAAGUGUGCCAUACGGGGCAAGAGUGCCACCAAGCAUUUUUCCUUAAAAACUUUAGUUUAAUGAUCAAUUGUGUAUACAGUUGGUUCCUUUCCAAUGACUAGGUAUACUGAGCCGAAUUUCAUAUAGACCAAUCGAUAUUCCCCAUUGUUUUGAACUGAUUUAUGUUGAGUUUCAAAAUUGAGCAGAAUAUUAUAAUUUUUUAAUCCAAUCAAAUAAGCUCUCAAAAAUCAUGCGAACAAUCAACAGGGAAAAUAUUUACACCACCGUAUAGCUGAGAAAACGUGAAAUUUUUUGUGGGGUUAGUUGAAAAAAACUUUCUUUUUGUCACUGAAAAAUUCAAUUUCAAAAAAGUUACAACUUUUGGGGCAAGUGUGCCAUCUCUGUUUGGGGCAAGUGUGCCACCAUCUUUCAUAGGCGCGAGCUGUCAAAAA